This 253-nucleotide ribosomal RNA is filed under the name uncultured bacterium. Its description in RNAcentral is "partial 16S ribosomal RNA". It matches the Rfam family "Bacterial small subunit ribosomal RNA", at positions 524 to 776 of the family's 1533-position model. The record is from RNAcentral.
UACAGAGGGGGCAAGCGUUAUUCGGAAGUAUUGGGCGUAAAGGGCGCGUAGGCGGCUUUUCAAGUGACGGGUGAAAUCCCUCGGCUUAACCGAGGAACUGCCUGUCAGACUGGAAGGCUUGAGACCGGGAGAGGUGAGUGGAAUUCCCAGUGUAGCGGUGAAAUGCGUAGAUAUUAGGAAGAACACCGGUGGCGAAGGCGGCCCACUGGUCCGGUACUGACGCUGAGGUGCGAAAGCGUGGGGAGCAAACAGG